This 74-nucleotide transfer RNA is filed under the name Candidatus Kaiserbacteria bacterium. RNAcentral's name for it is "tRNA-Ile". It matches the Rfam family "tRNA". Rfam says of the family: Transfer RNA (tRNA) molecules are approximately 80 nucleotides in length. Their secondary structure includes four short double-helical elements and three loops (D, anti-codon, and T loops). Further hydrogen bonds mediate the characteristic L-shaped molecular structure. tRNAs have two regions of fundamental functional importance: the anti-codon, which is responsible for specific mRNA codon recognition, and the 3' end, to which the tRNAs corresponding amino acid is attached (by aminoacyl-tRNA synthetases). tRNAs cope with the degeneracy of the genetic code in two manners: having more than one tRNA (with a specific anti-codon) for a particular amino acid; and 'wobble' base-pairing, i.e. permitting non-standard base-pairing at the 3rd anti-codon position. The record is from RNAcentral. Lineage: Bacteria; Candidatus Kaiseribacteriota. RNAcentral also lists the same sequence under 2 other names.
AGUCUCGUAGCUCAGCUGGUUAGAGCGCUACACUGAUAAUGUAGAGGCCGGCGGUUCAAGUCCGCCCGAGACUA